UUACGGUCAUAUCAUGUUGAAACAUCGAUUCCCGUACGAUCACUGAAGGUAAGCAAAGACAAGCUUGGUUAGUACCAAGAUGGGUUACCGCUUGGGAAU
Molecule: non-coding RNA, 99 nt
Organism: Acanthosepion pharaonis
Lineage: Eukaryota; Metazoa; Mollusca; Cephalopoda; Sepiida; Sepiidae
Source: the annotation of a GenBank genome assembly